RNAcentral lists this ribosomal RNA (432 nucleotides) under uncultured bacterium. RNAcentral's name for it is "partial 16S ribosomal RNA". It matches the Rfam family "Bacterial small subunit ribosomal RNA", at positions 29 to 507 of the family's 1533-position model. The record is from RNAcentral.
AACGAACGCUGGCGGCAUGCCUAACACAUGCAAGUCGAACGAGACCUUCGGGUCUAGUGGCGCACGGGUGCGUAACGCGUGGGAACCUGCCCUUAGGUUCGGAAUAACUCCCCGACAGGGGUGCUAAUACCGGAUAAUGUCUUCGGACCAAAGAUUUAUCGCCUUUGGAUGGGCCCGCGUUGGAUUAGCUAGUUGGUAGGGUAAAAGCCUACCAAGGCGACGAUCCAUAGCUGGUCUGAGAGGAUGAUCAGCCACACUGGACUGAGACACGGCCCAGACUCCUACGGGAGGCAGCAGUGGGGAAUAUUGGAAAAUGGGCGAAAGCCUGAUCCAGCAAUGCCGCGUGAGUGAUGAAGGCCUUAGGGUUGUAAAGCUCUUUUACCCGGGAUGAUAAUGACAGUACCGGGAGAAUAAGCUCCGGCUAACUCCGUG